RNAcentral lists this long non-coding RNA (477 nucleotides) under Bos indicus x Bos taurus (hybrid cattle). Its description in RNAcentral is "lncRNA (ENSBIXG00000008546.1)". The record is from RNAcentral. Lineage: Eukaryota; Metazoa; Chordata; Mammalia; Artiodactyla; Bovidae.
AUGAGUCCACACACCUGCGCUCGAGCUGACCGGGGGCCAGGUUCACUGGGGGGCAGGGUAGGGGGUACAGCUAAGUGUCAGGUUCCUGGGGACACAAGAUCACUUGUGAGAGUCUGGAAUGUUCUAGAGAAGGUGGGGGGAGGGUGUCAAAUAAAACUCCAGUGUUAUCCUGUUUUUCAGCAAUUUAAGGACAAGAUGCGUGUGGAUGGGGGCUCAGGACAAGAGGGCCCAGAGACACCACAGGAGCAGGGCCGGCCUCUGGCUCUGAGUCAGGAGAACAGACGUGCAAGUGACGAAUGCUGGGAUUUGCCGACAAAUAGCAAGGGACAGGCGGACACCCGAACACCUGCGAAGACGGGCUCCGUGAGAGCAGCUCCUCCCCAUGCGGCCCCUCGGCCCCCUUCACCCCUCGUGGGUCUCCAGGCGGCCAGGCCGGCGGAGGCGGAAGGCAGCUCACGAGUCUCCCGGGCUGGCUGA